RNAcentral lists this ribosomal RNA (527 nucleotides) under uncultured bacterium. RNAcentral describes it as "bacterial SSU rRNA". It matches the Rfam family "Bacterial small subunit ribosomal RNA", at positions 20 to 518 of the family's 1533-position model. The record is from RNAcentral.
GGCGUCAGGACGAACGCUGGCGGCGUGCCUAAUACAUGCAAGUCGAACGGUCGUUUCUAUGGAAGCUUGCUUCCACUGAGAAGAUAGUGGCGAACGGGUGAGGUAACACGUGGGUAACCUGCCCAUAAGAGGGGGAUAACAUCCGGAAACGGGUGCUAAUACCGCAUAGUUUCUUGAUCGCAUGAUUGAGAAAGGAAAGACGGCCUUUGUGCUGUCGCUUAUGGAUGGACCCGCGGCGUAUUAGUUAGUUGGUGAGGUAACGGCUCACCAAGACGAUGAUACGUAGCCGACCUGAGAGGGUGAUCGGCCACAUUGGGACUGAGACACGGCCCAAACUCCUACGGGAGGCAGCAGUAGGGAAUCUUCCGCAAUGGACGAAAGUCUGACGGGGCAACGCCGCGUGAGUGAAGGAAAGGUUUUCGGAUCGUAAAACUCUGUUGUCAGAGAAGAACAAGUUGGAGAGUAACUGCUCCAGCCUUGACGGUAUCUGACCAGAAAGCCACGGCUAACUACGUGCCAGCCGCAGC